RNAcentral lists this transfer RNA (69 nucleotides) under Nothoprocta perdicaria. Its description in RNAcentral is "tRNA-Ile". Lineage: Eukaryota; Metazoa; Chordata; Aves; Tinamiformes; Tinamidae. The record is from RNAcentral.
GGAAAUGUGCCUGAACUUAAGGAUCACUAUGAUAAAGUGAACAUAGAGGUUGCAAUCCUCUCAUUUCCU